This 468-nucleotide ribosomal RNA is filed under the name uncultured bacterium. RNAcentral describes it as "partial 16S ribosomal RNA". It matches the Rfam family "Bacterial small subunit ribosomal RNA", at positions 28 to 507 of the family's 1533-position model. The record is from RNAcentral.
GAUGAACGCUGGCGGCGUGCUUAACACAUGCAAGUCGAACGGAAAGGCCCAAGCUUGCUUGGGUACUCGAGUGGCGAACGGGUGAGUAACACGUGGGUGAUCUGCCCUGCACUUCGGGAUAAGCCUGGGAAACUGGGUCUAAUACUGGAUAGGACCACUUCUUGGAUGGUGUGGUGGAAAGUUUUUUCGGUGUGGGAUGAGCUCGCGGCCUAUCAGCUUGUUGGUGGGGUAAUGGCCUACCAAGGCGUCGACGGGUAGCCGGCCUGAGAGGGUGUACGGCCACAUUGGGACUGAGAUACGGCCCAGACUCCUACGGGGGGCAGCAGUGGGGAAUAUUGCACAAUGGGCGCGAGCCUGAUGCAGCGACGCCGCGUGGGGGAUGACGGCCUUCGGGUUGUAAACUCCUUUCGCUAGGGACGAAGCGUUUUUGUGACGGUACCUGGAGAAGAAGCACCGGCUAACUACGUG